UACGGAGGGAGCUAGCGUUGUUCGGAAUUACUGGGCGUAAAGCGCACGUAGGCGGCUUUGUAAGUCAGAGGUGAAAGCCUGGAGCUCAACUCCAGAACUGCCUUUAAGACUGCAUCGCUUGAACGUCGGAGAGGUGAGUGGAAUUCCGAGUGUAGAGGUGAAAUUCGUAGAUAUUCGGAAGAACACCAGUGGCGAAGGCGGCUCACUGGACGACUGUUGACGCUGAGGUGCGAAAGCGUGGGGAGCAAACAGG
This 253-nucleotide ribosomal RNA is filed under the name uncultured bacterium. Its description in RNAcentral is "partial 16S ribosomal RNA". It matches the Rfam family "Bacterial small subunit ribosomal RNA", at positions 524 to 776 of the family's 1533-position model. The record is from RNAcentral.